RNAcentral lists this unclassified non-coding RNA (373 nucleotides) under soil metagenome. RNAcentral describes it as "partial contains 5.8S ribosomal RNA, internal transcribed spacer 2, and large subunit ribosomal RNA". The stretch from base 1 to 121 matches the Rfam family "5.8S ribosomal RNA", at positions 35 to 154 of the family's 154-position model. The record is from RNAcentral.
GAUGAAGAACGUAGCGAAAUGCGAUAAGUAAUGCGAAUUGCAGAAUUCCAGUGAGUCAUCGAAUCUUUGAACGCACAUUGCGCCCUUUGGUAUUCCGAAGGGCAUGCCUGUUCGAGCGUCAUUAUCACCCCUCAAGCCCUCGGCUUGGUGUUGGGCGGUUUGGUGGAGGCCCCCUCGGGGGCUCCUGCCCCUCCCAAAGACAAUGACGGCGGCCUCGUUGGACCCCCGGUACACUGAGUUCUUCACGGGACACGUAUCGGACACAUGGGUUUACGGGACACGGUCUGCCUCCCCUCAGGGAGAAUCUUUCUAAGGUUGACCUCGGAUCAGGUAGGGAUACCCGCUGAACUUAAGCAUAUCAAUAAGCGGAGGA